RNAcentral lists this long non-coding RNA (283 nucleotides) under Sorghum bicolor (sorghum). RNAcentral's name for it is "long non-coding RNA (SBIC_LNC005070)". Lineage: Eukaryota; Viridiplantae; Streptophyta; Magnoliopsida; Poales; Poaceae. The record is from RNAcentral.
GCGGGUUUGUCCACUGGUGAUCUUGACUUUCUGGCCAUGUCUCCUGUGUUGGCUCUUUUGGUUGAGAAUUUCGAACCCAUGGGUCCCGAAGGACUCGGGGGUUGUAGUCGCAAUAAUGCAGGUGCACUGCUUCUUCCGGCCCGAGAUCAGCUCCAUGCCAGGUGCGUUCUUGAUGGGUGGUCAUCCUUUCAGAUGCCACUCAUUGUGGAGCUCUCUGGUUUACCGGUGUCACUGCAAUCUCAAUCAAAAAAUUUUGAACAACAUAGAGGCCAAGGUUCGGGUU